This 421-nucleotide ribosomal RNA is filed under the name uncultured bacterium. RNAcentral describes it as "bacterial SSU rRNA". It matches the Rfam family "Bacterial small subunit ribosomal RNA", at positions 29 to 478 of the family's 1533-position model. The record is from RNAcentral.
AAUGAACGUUGGCGGCGUGGAUUAGGCAUGCAAGUCGCGCGAGAAGUUUCCUUCGGGAGACGGACAGCGGCGGAAAGGGAGAGGAAUAAGUAGAAAUCUGCCCUCGGGACGGGGAUAGCGGCGGGAAACUGCCGGUAAUACCCGAUAACAUCUUUGGAUCAAAUGGUGUGAUUCCGCCUGAGGAUGAGUCUACUUCCUAUUAGCUAGUUGGUGUGGUAAUGGCUCACCAAGGCAACGAUGGGUAGCGGGUGUGAGAGCACGAUCCGCCUCACUGGGACUGAGACACUGCCCAGACACCUACGGGUGGCUGCAGUCGAGAAUCUUCGGCAAUGGGGGAAACCCUGACCGAGCGACGCCGCGUGCGGGAUGAAGGCCCUCGGGUUGUAAACCGCUGUCGUAAGGGACAAAUCUAAGAGGGUAC